Molecule: long non-coding RNA, 297 nt
Filed under: Nicotiana benthamiana
Lineage: Eukaryota; Viridiplantae; Streptophyta; Magnoliopsida; Solanales; Solanaceae
Description: long non-coding RNA (NBEN_LNC004826)
Source: RNAcentral
GUAUAAUCAUCAUCAUCGCUGGCCCUUCUUGUUCUUCGGACCAUAAGGAGCCUAGCUCAUCAAGCGAUCAAUUUUAACUGUUGAUUACUGCUAUAACACCUUCACAAUCAGAUUUGAUAGCGAUUGCGUAGUUGGAGCUUCACUCAAUCAAAAGUGAAGGAAGUGUUUGAGGCAGACGCUUCUGUGCCGGUGACCGAGCUUUUUACGCAAGUGUUUGAGGUUAAGCUUGUGGUAAUGAAUGGCUCUAAAGUUGUGGACGUGAAUCCAGAAGAUGAAGUGUGAAAGAUGAGCCUCUUG